UUUUACGACAUUUGGUGUCCGAAAACACAAUUAAGACAUUUUGUUAAGUCAUUCUGAAACCUGUCGGUUUCUUACGUCAUGUGCGUUACGUCGCGUUACGCGAAUUUAUGUUGCUUUCGUCUGUCUAGUUACGUCAUGUAGCCAGCUGUCAUGUUGGUUAAGCCAAGGUAAAUACGUCGCUGUGAAUGUUGAUUUGGUACUUAGGACAAAUCGAUCAUCCAGCAAAAAAGCAAGGAUCAGCAAUGAUUUACGGCGAGGGUGGUGGUACCUGUUCCUGGGAGGCCAACUUAUCACUCCGGAAAAGAUCACCCUGCAGCUACUGAAACGAGGAAGAAGAAUAACCGGUGCAGAAAUGCCUACGGAGAUAUGGCACAAAAAAGAAAUUAUCCUAUGUAAACGAGGAGAAAAUACCCGGUAAGAGAGCCGUAGUAUAGCAGCGACACGAACCGGAAGGAGCAAAACGGAAGACAACUGCAUACGAUAAUAAAAUCUCCGUACUUUCUACGAUUCACCGGCGGGGCUGUCAAGGGCCGCUCAAAUACAAAGGAAAUCUCUGGACCACAAGCCGCCAAACCCACAGAUGAAAAAACUGGACGUUUUCACCCACAUGUGCACACUCCAGCGAAAUGUCAUGAACUUGGCCAAUGCAGUGAACUUCGAUGACCGAGAAACGAUUGCGUGAGGUGUGCAAAAUUCACAAAUCCGGUUACUCGAUCGAGCUGGAAACCACUCUAGUGGACUUCUUGGACUUGCGCUGGAAACAACAUCAACAUCUCGGUCAUCGUCAGGAGCGAAAAUCUUCCCAAAUGCUUACUGACGGUGUUGGACAACGAGUGUCGCUGCUAUCAGCACUUGCUCCACGAGGUAGUAGGAAAUCGAGCACGAAGUGGACAGUCUUCGCGGCACAGAUGUUGAUAUCCUCGCGGCACAGAUGUCGAUCUUCCACGAGGACAAUAAUGAAACCAUGACCGGACAGUACAAAAGUGAUCAGUACACUGGAGAAACGGAAACGACUUGCAGAAGAACAAAGCUCUGAUGAAAUCGCUGACCAAGAAUGGCCAACCAGCAGGAAUUGGCAAGAAUGGUGAGAUCCAGAGAAAAUAGGUAGAGAAGCGAAGAGUGUGAAGCCAAAAAUACCUUAUCGAACCGUCAAACUGGUAUCCUAUCGAACAAAAUCAACAAACCGUGACGAUUGUCGCAUAAUUAAGAAUAGGUAUUGCAAUCAUUUAAAACAUUUUUUCACCAAAAUGUUUAAAUAUCAAGAAUUUCACUGUAAAUAACAUUGACUCCUUAAAUUGAUGAAAA
Long non-coding RNA from Aedes albopictus (Asian tiger mosquito), 1305 nucleotides. RefSeq lists it as uncharacterized. The record is from RefSeq and is a predicted model, not a curated record. The transcript has 3 exons. Lineage: Eukaryota; Metazoa; Arthropoda; Insecta; Diptera; Culicidae.